GCUGGUGCAGCUCAGUGGAAGAAUGUUUGCUUAGUAUGCAAGAGGCCCUGGGUUCAAUCCCCAGCCCUGCA
RNAcentral lists this transfer RNA (71 nucleotides) under Heterocephalus glaber (naked mole-rat). It matches the Rfam family "tRNA". Rfam says of the family: Transfer RNA (tRNA) molecules are approximately 80 nucleotides in length. Their secondary structure includes four short double-helical elements and three loops (D, anti-codon, and T loops). Lineage: Eukaryota; Metazoa; Chordata; Mammalia; Rodentia; Bathyergidae. The record is from Rfam by way of RNAcentral.